RNAcentral lists this vault RNA (101 nucleotides) under Larimichthys crocea (large yellow croaker). Its description in RNAcentral is "Vault RNA (ENSLCRG00005011209.1)". It matches the Rfam family "Vault RNA". From Rfam's summary of the family: This family of RNAs are found as part of the enigmatic vault ribonucleoprotein complex. The record is from Rfam by way of RNAcentral. Lineage: Eukaryota; Metazoa; Chordata; Actinopteri; Sciaenidae.
GCGGCGGUUUAGCUCAGUGGUUACUUCUCACUCAAACGUGUCAUCCAGCUCUCAGACCUCCGGGCCGGAGGGUUCGACCCCGGGCGCUGCCCGCUGCCUUU